This 716-nucleotide long non-coding RNA is filed under the name Mytilus galloprovincialis (Mediterranean mussel). Lineage: Eukaryota; Metazoa; Mollusca; Bivalvia; Mytilida; Mytilidae. The record is from RNAcentral.
GGGCGUAACUCCUAGAAAAAAAAUUGAAUCGCAAUUUCCCGUCGAUAUGCACAACUACAUAGUAUGUCCUUAUUAUCUGAAAAGGUUUCGUGAAAUUCUGUUUGUGGUUUGAGAGGAGUUGCGAUGACAAACUGUUGCAGUAGUACAUUAAAGUAAAUAAGUUCAAAGGGGCGUAACUCCUAGAAAAAAAAUUGAAUCGCAAUUUCCCGUCGAUAUGCACAACUACAUAGUAUGUCCUUAUUAUCUGAAAAGGUUUCGUGAAAUUCUGUUGUGUGGUUUGAGAGGAGUUGCGAUGACAAACUGUUGCAGUAAUACAUUAAAGUAAAUAAGUUCAAAGGGGUGUAACUCCUAGAAAAAAAAUUGAAUCGCAAUUUCCUGUCGAUAUGCACAACUACAUAGUAUGUCCUUAUUAUCUGAAAAGGUUUCGUGAAAUUCUGUUGUGUGGUUUGAGAGGAGUUGCGAUGACAAACUGUUGCAGUUAGUACAUUAAAGUAAAUAAGUUCAAAGGGGCGUAACUCCUAGAAAAAAAAUUGAAUCGCAAUUUCCCGUUGAUAUGCACAACUACAUAGUAUGUCCUUAUUAUCUGAAAAUGUUUCGUGAAAUUCUGUUGUGGGGUUUGAGAGGAGUUGCGAUGACAAGAAACAGGACUGACGGACUGACGGACGGACUGACUGACGGACGGACGGGUCAAAAACAUUAUAACCUCCGCAACUUCG